UAUGUGGAAGAGAGCACAUGGUCUUCGAAAUUCAAGUUUGAACCGUACACCUCCUGGGUUCAUUCGAUCUCACCUACCAUCUCUAACUUGUGGUUCAAGUUUACCAUGAUCUAUCACCAAUCAACCCCAGAGACCAAGACUAUGACCGAGAUGGAUACGAGUCGUGAGUAACGAGUCCUAAUCUCGUCUGGGAAUACUUCUUUGCUUACAAGUUCGUUACAAAAAAGGAGUUUUCUUGAAAGAUUAUGUGAAGAACUGUGGAAGCAGCCAAAUACUGUUUUAAAAUCUAAGACAUAGUUGCAAAAAGUCAUGCCUACGAGAGUUUUGUCAUGAAUUCACCAACUGAAAAAAAGGAGGCGCUCGAGGUGAAAGAACAACUGAAAUAAAAUAAAAUGACAGCCAGCAGAGCUCAUGGAAAAAUUCUCGUGAAAAUGUGGUUCUAGGAACGGUGUCGAAGAAUAAGAUGAUUAAAAAGACAGCUUCGUUUAAGAGUUAUACUUUCCUGCGGAGCAGAAACUUGAAUCCAAUAGUGAAAAAGUCACAAAAGCGUUUUCAUGUCGUUAAGACCGUUCCCACAGGGCUAAAGUAUUGAUCCAAUCGUUUUUCUAAAGAUGAUCGACCUUACACAC
Molecule: long non-coding RNA, 629 nt
Organism: Belonocnema kinseyi
Lineage: Eukaryota; Metazoa; Arthropoda; Insecta; Hymenoptera; Cynipidae
Exons: 3
Source: RefSeq, a predicted model, not a curated record